This 445-nucleotide ribosomal RNA is filed under the name uncultured bacterium. RNAcentral describes it as "partial 16S ribosomal RNA". It matches the Rfam family "Bacterial small subunit ribosomal RNA", at positions 354 to 796 of the family's 1533-position model. The record is from RNAcentral.
GUGAGGAAUAUUGGUCAAUGGGCGAGAGCCUGAACCAGCCAAGUCGCGUGAAGGAUGAAGGUUUUAUGAAUUGUAAACUUCUUUUGCAGGGGAAUAAAGUACGGUACGUGUACCGUUUUGUAUGUACUCUGCGAAUAAGGAUCGGCUAACUCCGUGCCAGCAGCCGCGGUAAUACGGAGGAUCCAAGCGUUAUCCGGAUUUAUUGGGUUUAAAGGGUGCGCAGGCGGGUUGAUAAGUCAGCGGUGAAAGUUUGCAGCUUAACUGUAAAAAUGCCGUUGAAACUGUCGGACUUGAGUGUAAAUGAGGUAGGCGGAAUGCGUGGUGUAGCGGUGAAAUGCAUAGAUAUCACGCAGAACUCCGAUUGCGAAGGCAGCUUACUAAGCUACAACUGACACUGAAGCACGAAAGCGUGGGGAUCAAACAGGAUUAGAUACCCUAGUAGUCC